This 222-nucleotide unclassified non-coding RNA is filed under the name Hevea brasiliensis (rubber tree). The record is from RNAcentral. Lineage: Eukaryota; Viridiplantae; Streptophyta; Magnoliopsida; Malpighiales; Euphorbiaceae.
AGUUUUGCAAGUUCUGCUCAAGAAAUGGAUCAAGACACAGCUCAUUGAUGCUGGAAUAGUCAUGUGCAAUCAAGGCCUCUUGUUUUAGGACAUUAAAUUGAGCUGUAAUAAAUUCUAUAAUCUUCUGAUCUUUUGUUAUAUGUUUUCCUGCAAAAAGCUCAAUAAGUCCACCAAAUACUGGGAUCAGAACUCGAGUGCCAACAAAUUCAGGAGAGAGAUUCG